Molecule: RNase P RNA, 328 nt
Filed under: Sporomusa acidovorans
Lineage: Bacteria; Bacillati; Bacillota; Negativicutes; Selenomonadales; Sporomusaceae
Also listed under: 1 other name
Description: Bacterial RNase P class B
Rfam family: Bacterial RNase P class B
About the family: Ribonuclease P (RNase P) is a ubiquitous endoribonuclease, found in archaea, bacteria and eukarya as well as chloroplasts and mitochondria. Its best characterised activity is the generation of mature 5'-ends of tRNAs by cleaving the 5'-leader elements of precursor-tRNAs. Cellular RNase Ps are ribonucleoproteins.
Source: RNAcentral
AAAAACGGGAAAUUGCGGUACUGUAAUGACAGUAUUGAGGAAAGUCCAGACUGCCACAACCUGAGAUGGUUGUAGUGUUCGUGCCCAUUGCAAAAUGGGGCAGAGCUUCGCUCUGACGACGGCGAAAUCGACUCUCGCAGCCGAAAGUAGUCAUAAAGUGCACAGAGAAUGAGUAGGCUGGUGACAGCCUAGUGAAAAGUGGUAAACUCCACGAGGCAGAAACCCGAAUUUUGGUAGGGGAACUUCCUGUAGGGAAUUAAACCGAAGGGGAGAACGCAUAUAAUGCGUUAGAUAAAUAAUUUCCUAAAACAGAAACUGGCUUACGGUU